Molecule: long non-coding RNA, 369 nt
Filed under: Marmota monax (woodchuck)
Lineage: Eukaryota; Metazoa; Chordata; Mammalia; Rodentia; Sciuridae
Source: RNAcentral
CAAUAAUAAAAGUACGUAUUGCCUGUGAUUGCAGGAAAAUUCCAGAAUGAGAAUAAGGAUACAAUUGAGACAUGCCAUGAGGUGCAUUUCAAUGUCUCAGGAUACAAACAAUAUGUUAUUCCUCAAGCCUGAACAACAAGAAAUAUUUAUCCCAUGGUCAACAAUUUACACUACCCGCCCCCCCAACCCCAUCCUAAAGCCAUAACCUGUACAACAGCCUAGCUACAGAAAAACAAUUGCUGUGCCAACAGUACAAGGACCACCAUAUGUAGCUUAUGGUAUUCCCCCAAGGACAAGAGGCUAAUAAAAAUACAUUCCCCCAACCAAUAGACCCUCCUUUGCCUCACACAGAAACUUGAUGAAAAUGGA